GCCUUCGUGGUGUAACGGUACCACACUCGGCGCGUAUUCUAGAGGUCCAGGUUCGAAUCCCGGCCAGGGCA
This 71-nucleotide transfer RNA is filed under the name Stegodyphus mimosarum. It matches the Rfam family "tRNA". Rfam says of the family: Transfer RNA (tRNA) molecules are approximately 80 nucleotides in length. Their secondary structure includes four short double-helical elements and three loops (D, anti-codon, and T loops). The record is from Rfam by way of RNAcentral. Lineage: Eukaryota; Metazoa; Arthropoda; Arachnida; Araneae; Eresidae.